GUCCACGCCCUAAACGAUGAAUGCUAGGUGUAGGGGAGUUAUCUUCUGUGCCGCAGCUAACGCAAUAAGCAUUCCACCUGGGGAGUACGGCCGCAAGGUUGAAACUCAAAGGAAUUGACGGGAGCCCGCACAAGCAGUAGAGUAUGUGGUUUAAUUCGACGCAACGCGAAAAACCUUACCAAGGAUUGACAUCCCGAGGAGUCGGCGUAAUGGCUGAUGUGCCUCUUCGGAGGAAUUCGGUGACAGGUGGUGCAUGGUUGUCGU
Molecule: ribosomal RNA, 264 nt
Filed under: uncultured bacterium
Lineage: Bacteria
Description: partial 16S ribosomal RNA
Rfam family: Bacterial small subunit ribosomal RNA
Source: RNAcentral